UACGUAGGGGGCAAGCGUUGUCCGGAUUUAUUGGGCGUAAAGAGCGUGUAGGCGGCCUGAAAGGUCAGCUGUGAAAACUCGAGGCUCAACCUCGAGACGUCGGUUGAAACCAUCUGGCUAGAGUCCGGAAGAGGAGUGUGGAAUUCCCGGUGUAGCGGUGAAAUGCGCAGAUAUCGGGAAGAACACACGUGGCGAAAGCGGCUCACUGGACCAUAACUGACGCUGAUGCACGAAAGCUGGGGGAGCAAACAGG
Molecule: ribosomal RNA, 253 nt
Filed under: uncultured bacterium
Lineage: Bacteria
Description: partial 16S ribosomal RNA
Rfam family: Bacterial small subunit ribosomal RNA
Source: RNAcentral